AGUGAACGCUGGCGGUAGGCCUAACACAUGCAAGUCGAACGGCAGCACAGUAAGAGCUUGCUCUUACGGGUGGCGAGUGGCGGACGGGUGAGGAAUACAUCGGAAUCUACUUUUUCGUGGGGGAUAACGUAGGGAAACUUACGCUAAUACCGCAUACGACCUACGGGUGAAAGCAGGGGAUCUUCGGACCUUGCGCGAUUGAAUGAGCCGAUGUCGGAUUAGCUAGUUGGCGGGGUAAAGGCCCACCAAGGCGACGAUCCGUAGCUGGUCUGAGAGGAUGAUAAGCGACACUGGAACUGAGACACGGUCCAGACUCCUACGGGAGGCAGCAGUGGGGAAUAUUGGACAAUGGGCGCAAGCCUGAUCCAGCCAUACCGCGUGGGUGAAGAAGGCCUUCGGGUUGUAAAGCCCUUUUGUUGGGAAAGAAAAGCAGCAGGUUAAGACCCCGCUGUUCUGACGGUACCCAAAGAAUAAGCACCGGCUAACUUCGUG
Molecule: ribosomal RNA, 492 nt
Filed under: uncultured bacterium
Lineage: Bacteria
Description: partial 16S ribosomal RNA
Rfam family: Bacterial small subunit ribosomal RNA
Source: RNAcentral